UACGAAGGGUGCUAGCGUUGCUCGGAAUCACUGGGCGUAAAGGGUGCGUAGGCGGUUCUUUAAGUCAGGGGGGAAAUCCUGGAGCUCAACUCCAGAACUGCCUUUGAUACUGAGGAUCUUGAGUUCGGGAGAGGUGAGUGGAACUGCGAGUGUAGAGGUGAAAUUCGUAGAUAUUCGCAAGAACACCAGUGGCGAAGGCGGCUCACUGGCCCGAUACUGACGCUGAGGCACGAAAGCGUGGGGAGCAAACAGG
Molecule: ribosomal RNA, 253 nt
Filed under: uncultured bacterium
Lineage: Bacteria
Description: partial 16S ribosomal RNA
Rfam family: Bacterial small subunit ribosomal RNA
Source: RNAcentral